GGAGGUCAGAAUAAAUACAAUAAUGAUGAAUGAAAAAAG
Molecule: transfer RNA, 39 nt
Filed under: Calamus angustifolius
Lineage: Eukaryota; Viridiplantae; Streptophyta; Magnoliopsida; Arecales; Arecaceae
Description: partial tRNA-His
Source: RNAcentral